Molecule: long non-coding RNA, 264 nt
Organism: Phyllostomus discolor (pale spear-nosed bat)
Lineage: Eukaryota; Metazoa; Chordata; Mammalia; Chiroptera; Phyllostomidae
Exons: 3
Source: RefSeq, a predicted model, not a curated record
GACAAAGGACUCUAUUCUUUCAGUUGCUGUAGCUUUUUUGUUUUGACAUGACAUUCUGAUUCUUCAGCAAAUAUUAAUGGACACAAAAGGAGAAAAAGAGAAAAAUCUACUGAAAUUACAUAAAGAACAAUGAGGGCUGCAGAAGAAAUUUAUAAAACAGCCACAAUUUUCUGAACAUGAGAGAGAAAAUACCACAUUCAUCAGUUAAAUAGAAACUAUUUAAGAUGGCGACAUGGGUAAACACGGCUCACCUCCUCACACAAC